UGUGGGUUCAAGUCCUGCCCCUCCUG
Molecule: transfer RNA, 26 nt
Filed under: Dendrobathypathes boutillieri
Lineage: Eukaryota; Metazoa; Cnidaria; Anthozoa; Antipatharia; Schizopathidae
Also listed under: 12 other names
Description: partial tRNA-Trp
Source: RNAcentral